CUCGAAAUACCCGGAUGCAGUUAUCAUGGCUGCUAUCAGUGAGACUCCGCAGUGGAGAUCGAGGCUAGAGUUGCUCAGACAGCUCUCAGGCUUUGGGGCUUCAGGGAGAUCUGUCAAAAGACAAAGGAUGAGAGAGCUGGGCGGCAGGGUGUCCCACGUGGUUUUAGAAUCUGCGCCUCCGCGAUUCCUGUUAACUUGCCGCCAAGUUUUUCUAGAGGAGACGCUCCUCUUGGCAGGGAGGGGCGUCCCUUACGUGCCGGGUUUUUGUUCCGGUCACUCUGCGCUGCCCAGGAGUCCAGUGGUCAGUGCGAUGGCUGGUCCGGGAAGAAAGGGUUGACCGGAGGCUAGAACCGAGAGAUGCGGAGCCGCGCUGGGGACUCCGAGGCGUCCAGGCUGGGGGAGCCAGACUGAAUGUAAUCCCGGCUACCGCCCCCACUCAAGUCCGGUCCCUAGAGGCCGCGAUGCUCUUCACGGAGGGGGCGCUCAGAGUAGGCUGUUGGCCUCUUCACUGCCGACCCAACUUCACCCCACAGUAGACUUUGAUCCUUGACAAAUCUAGGAUAUGCAUAUUGCAGGUGUCCUAUAGGUUUUGCCAUCGGGUGGAACAGGAACAAAUGUAGGUCUACUGGGUUCUUGGCACAGUACCAUAUGGACCUGGACAAAGCAUUUUUAAGAUCACUAAUCAGAGUCCCAACCUUUAUCCUGGAAUUGCACAAUUAGCUCAAAGAACCCAGGAUGGCGAUACUGCAGUGAGGUCUGAUGAGUCUGAUGGAGAUACUGAGGUUGCUGAAAG
Molecule: long non-coding RNA, 793 nt
Organism: Phacochoerus africanus (Common warthog)
Lineage: Eukaryota; Metazoa; Chordata; Mammalia; Artiodactyla; Suidae
Exons: 5
Source: RefSeq, a predicted model, not a curated record